UAAUAUAUAUUACAGUAUAGCUCCCCGUGCAUGACAAGCAUAAGGAGGUACUUAACCUAUAGCCUAGGGCCUAGGCUAGAAUAUUAUAAAAAAAUCACUUAGAUGCAAAAACAUGUUUAGGAAAUUCGAGACAUCAAAAAUGCCCAAUUUUUAAGGUGGUGCGUAAUGGGCUGUAUACAGGGUGUAACAAAAAUACAGGUCAUAAAUUAAAUCACAUAUUCUGGGACCAAAAAUAGUUCGAAUGAACCUAACUUACCUUAGUACAAAUAUGCACAUAAAAAAAGUUACAGCCCUUUGAAAUUACAAAAUGAAAAUAGAUUUUUUCGAUUAUAUCGAAAACUAUUAGCGAUUUUUUAUUGAAAAUGGACAUGUGGCAUUAUUAUGGCAGGAAUAUCUUAAAGAAAAAUUAUGGUGAAAUUUCCCUAACACACAACAUUCCAGGAAUGGACUACCAAAGUUCUAUCAAUAUUUGAAUGUCCUGGACAUUUAGGGAACAUUCGGUGAACAUCUGAUUAAAUUAUUCGUGGAAUGUUACCAUAAGACAUUCUGUGAACAUACUACCAAUGUUCCUAUAUGUUCAUUUUCAAAUUCACGGCGCAUGUAUUUGUGCAUGGUGCUUAGAGAGGGCAUCACGUGACUAAAAACGACCAAUGACCUCACUUCAGACUUCGGUGCUUCGGCCAUCUUGACAUGCAUCUUGGCCUUGGCCACCUUGCCGUGCGUGAUCGUUGUUUGUUUUUAUUUGUGCUUUUUAAGAAUAUUUUUUAAUUCGGAUACUUUUAUAAUAACUUUAAUAGUAUUAUUAAUAUAGUGCAUAAAAUCAGUUGGAGUAGCAGAAGCAAUGUAGAUAAAAAAUCUGCAGGAAUAAUGUUUCAAAGCUUUCCAGAAGAUCCUGCAAAGAAGGCAUGAAGUAUUGAUCAGAUUUGUUAAUAGAGCAGUAUGUUCAAAACAUUUUUUAGAAAAAGAUAUUGACAGAACUUCACUUUCAACCGUUUGAGAGACUGUGCUGUUCCAAUAGCUUAUAUCACACAGAAUCAGCUGAGAGAAGUGGUCUACAAAAAACCAGGAAGGAAAUGGAAUAUGUGGCUAUGAAAGGCAAAAGAAAGGUUUACAAAGCAAAUGUGACACAUUUUUUUAUAGGAAUAUCAGUAAAUUACAUUAAAAAAAUGUAUGAAAAGAUUUUUUGCAAUAAAAAUGUUUAUAUUUAUCAAGGAUGCAUUAUUUGGUAUGGCCACAUAUCGUCAGUGAUGUGACAAUACCUCCUAUCUGUUUUUUCAUGAGAUUUGUAAGAUAGACUAAAAACUUGUUUGGGCCACCUCCUGUUUUCAUAUAUUUUUUGACUUGUUUUGCAGUAAAUUUAACUAUCUAUUUACUACAAAACAAGCCAGAACUUACGUAUGCAAACAGGAGGUGACCUUAAAAAAUGUUUUUCGUCUCCUGCAAACCUCAUGAAAAAAGAUAUAGGAGGUAUUGUCACAGCACUGACGAUAUAUUUCAGAGAAUGUCUAAAAAAUAUACUGUGAAUGUUCAAAGAACGUUCGUAGACAUUCAUGGAAUGUUCCAACAAGACAUUUAGUCUAAAAAAUAUACUGUGAAUGUCCAAAGAACAUUCAUGGAAUGUUCCAACAUUCAUGGAAUGUCCCAACAAGACAUUCAGUCUAAAAAAUAUACUGUGAAUGUCCAAAGAACAUUCAUGGAAUGUUCCAACAAGACAUUCAGUCUAAAACAUAUACUGUGAAUGUCCAAAGAACAUUCGUAGACAUUCAUGGAAUGUUCCAACAGAACAUUCUAAGAAUAUUUAAAAUGCUGACACAGCACAUUCCAGGGACUUUCCAGGGACAUUCGUGUGCAUUUGGGGACAUUCCAGGAAUGUUUGGAAUGUCCUGUGAGUACAUUCUAGGAACAUUCAUGGAAUGUUUUGUGUUAUUAGGGUUGUGCACCCCAUAAAAAUUUUAUGGGGGUUUUGAUCCCUUAGAUCCUCCCAAACUUUUGUGUACGUUCCAAUUCAAUUUUAUUAUUGUGGUACCAUUAGUUAAAUUCAAUAUUUUUGUUUCUUAGUAUUUUUCAGAUAAGGCAGUUUUUAUCGAGUUGCGACUUCUUUUUUAACAUGUCUACAUAAAAAUUGUAUGGGGGUUUUGUUCCUUUAAACCCCCCAAAUGUUUGUGUACGUUCCAAUUAAACUAUUACUGAGGUACCAUUAGUUAAACAGAAUGUUUUUAAAACAUUUUUGCCUCUUUGUAUUUUUUCGAUAAGGCACGUUUUAUCGUG
This 2268-nucleotide long non-coding RNA is filed under the name Diabrotica virgifera virgifera (western corn rootworm). RNAcentral's name for it is "uncharacterized LOC126878917". Lineage: Eukaryota; Metazoa; Arthropoda; Insecta; Coleoptera; Chrysomelidae. The record is from RNAcentral.